RNAcentral lists this ribosomal RNA (440 nucleotides) under uncultured bacterium. Its description in RNAcentral is "partial 16S ribosomal RNA". It matches the Rfam family "Bacterial small subunit ribosomal RNA", at positions 338 to 795 of the family's 1533-position model. The record is from RNAcentral.
CCUACGGGUGGCAGCAGUAGGGAAUAUUGCUCAAUGGGGGAAACCCUGAAGCAGCAACGCCGCGUGGAGGAUGAAGGUUUUCGGAUUGUAAACUCCUUUUGUUAGAGAAGAUAAUGACGGUAUCUAACGAAUAAGCACCGGCUAACUCCGUGCCAGCAGCCGCGGUAAUACGGAGGGUGCAAGCGUUACUCGGAAUCACUGGGCGUAAAGCGCGCGUAGGCGGGUGAGCAAGUCAGAUGUGAAAUCCUAUGGCUUAACCAUAGAACUGCAUUUGAAACGGUUAUUCUAGAUUAGGGGAGGGGUAGGUGGAAUGCUUGGUGUAGGGGUAAAAUCCGUAGAGAUCAAGAGGAAUACUCAUGGCGAAGGCGACCUGCUAGAACAUAACUGACGCUGAUGCGCGAAAGCGUGGGGAGCAAACAGGAUUAGAUACCCGGGUAGUC